UACGUAGGGCGCAAGCGUUGUCCGGAAUUAUUGGGCGUAAAGGGCUCGUAGGCGGUUUGUCGCGUCGGGAGUGAAAUUUUUCGGCUUAACCGGGAAAGGUCGUCGGAUACUGCCGGGCUAGAGUCCGGAAGAGGCGAGUGGAACUCCUGGUGUAGCGGUGGAAUGCGCAGAUAUCAGGAAGAACACCAACGGCGAAGGCAGCUCGCUAGGACGGUACUGACGCUGAGACGCGAAAGCGUGGGGAGCGAACAGG
This 253-nucleotide ribosomal RNA is filed under the name uncultured bacterium. RNAcentral describes it as "partial 16S ribosomal RNA". It matches the Rfam family "Bacterial small subunit ribosomal RNA", at positions 524 to 776 of the family's 1533-position model. The record is from RNAcentral.